UAGAGUUUGAUCCUGGCUCAGGAUGAACGCUAGCGGCAGGCUUAACACAUGCAAGUCGAGGGGCAUCGGGAGGGAAGCUUGCUUUCCUUGCCGGCGACCGGCGCACGGGUGAGUAACACGUAUGCAACCUGCCCUCUUCAGGGGGACAACCUUCCGAAAGGGAGGCUAAUCCCGCGUAUAUCGGUUUCGGGCAUCCGAGAUCGAGGAAAGAUUCAUCGGAAGAGGAUGGGCAUGCGGCGCAUUAGCUAGACGGCGGGGUAACGGCCCACCGUGGCGACGAUGCGUAGGGGUUCUGAGAGGAAGGUCCCCCACACUGGUACUGAGACACGGACCAGACUCCUACGGGAGGCAGCAGUGAGGAAUAUUGGUCAAUGGGAGAGAUCCUGAACCAGCCAAGCCGCGUGAGGGAAGACGGCCCUAUGGGUUGUAAACCUCUUUUGUCGGAGAACAAAACCCGGGACGAGUCCCGGACUGCGUGUAUCCGAAGAAAAAGCAUCGGCUAACUCCGUGCCAGCAGCCGCGGUAAUACGGAGGAUGCGAGCGUUAUCCGGAUUUAUUGGGUUUAAAGGGUGCGUAGGCGGUCCGUUAAGUCAGCGGUAAAAUUGCGGGGCUCAACCCCGUCGAGCCGUUGAAACUGGCAGACUUGAGUUGGCGAGAAGUACGCGGAAUGCGCGGUGUAGCGGUGAAAUG
Molecule: ribosomal RNA, 690 nt
Filed under: uncultured bacterium
Lineage: Bacteria
Description: bacterial SSU rRNA
Rfam family: Bacterial small subunit ribosomal RNA
Source: RNAcentral